AGCCCGGCAGCUCAGAUGGUUAGAGCGCAGGAUUCAUAACCCUGAGGUCGGCAGUUCGAUCCUGCCCCGCUA
Molecule: transfer RNA, 72 nt
Filed under: Pedobacter sp. IW39
Lineage: Bacteria; Pseudomonadati; Bacteroidota; Sphingobacteriia; Sphingobacteriales; Sphingobacteriaceae
Description: tRNA-Met
Rfam family: tRNA
About the family: Transfer RNA (tRNA) molecules are approximately 80 nucleotides in length. Their secondary structure includes four short double-helical elements and three loops (D, anti-codon, and T loops).
Source: RNAcentral